GGAGAGGUGUCCGAGUGGUCGAAGGAGACGGUCUUGAAAACCGUUGAGCCCUUGCGGCUCCGUGGGUUCGAAUCCCACCCUCUCCG
Molecule: transfer RNA, 86 nt
Filed under: Spirochaetaceae bacterium
Lineage: Bacteria; Pseudomonadati; Spirochaetota; Spirochaetia; Spirochaetales; Spirochaetaceae
Description: tRNA-Ser
Rfam family: tRNA
About the family: Transfer RNA (tRNA) molecules are approximately 80 nucleotides in length. Their secondary structure includes four short double-helical elements and three loops (D, anti-codon, and T loops).
Source: RNAcentral